ACGAGUUAGGGUCUUCCAGGCCCGACCUCCCAACCCUAUGUUUAUUGAACCUCUGUUGCUUCGGCGGGCCCGUCUCACGACCGCCGGAGGACCGCUGCGAGGCGUCCUCUGGCCCGCGUCCGCCGAUAGCCAACCAAUUAACACUCUGAAUAAAUCGUGUCAUUAUGUCUAAGUCUAUGAUUAAAUUAAAGCA
Molecule: unclassified non-coding RNA, 193 nt
Filed under: uncultured fungus
Lineage: Eukaryota; Fungi
Also listed under: 1 other name
Description: sequence contains ITS1, 5.8S rRNA gene
Source: RNAcentral